RNAcentral lists this ribosomal RNA (1545 nucleotides) under Triticum aestivum (bread wheat). Its description in RNAcentral is "partial small subunit ribosomal RNA". The record is from RNAcentral. Lineage: Eukaryota; Viridiplantae; Streptophyta; Magnoliopsida; Poales; Poaceae.
AUGGAGGAUUGGCUCUUCUACUCGCUCACCACCAUGCUCUGCCUCCUCAGCUCGCUGCUGCUGAGGGCCCGGGCCCGCAGCCCGUCCCAUUCCGCGACGCAGACGCCGCCGCUGCCUCCAGGUCCGGUGCCGCUGCCGGUUCUGGGCCCGCUGCUCCACCUGGCGCGUCGCGACUUCGACCUGGAGCCCGUGCUGCGGCGCCUCGCGCGGGCCUACGGCCCGGUCUACUCCUUCGCGCCAUUGGGGCUGGCGCGGCCGAUGAUAUUCGUCGCGGCGCGAGGCCCAGCCCACCGCGCCCUCGUCCAGCAGGGCGCCGCCUUCGCCUCCCGCCCGCGCGCCACCGCUCCCGCCGCCGCCGUGCUCACCAGCGGCGGCCGCAACGUCAGCUCCGCGCCGUAUGGGCCCACCUGGCGCGUGCUCCGUCGCACCCUCGCCUCCGGCGUGCUCAACCCGGCCCGCCUCCGCGCCUUCGCCCCCGCGCGGCGCUGGGUGCUCGACGUCCUCCUCUCCCGCAUCCGCUCCGGCGGCGGCGUCGUCGCCGUCAUGGAGCCCUUCCAGUACGCCAUGUUCUGCCUCCUGGUGUACAUGUGCUUCGGCGGCGAUCGCCUCGGCGACGCGCGCGUGAGGGACAUCGAGGCGCUGCAGCGUGACCUCCUCGCCAACUUCCUCAGCUUCCAGGUCUUCUCCUUCCUCCCGCCGCUCACCAAGCUUGUCUUCCGCCGCCGGUGGAGCAAGCUCGUCUCGCUGCGCCGGCGGCAGGAGGAGCUCUUCGUCCCGCUCAUCCGCGCCAGGAGGGAGGCCGGCGCUGGCGGAGACUGCUACGUGGAUUCCCUGGUGAGGCUUGCCAUCCCGGAGGAUGGAGGGAGGGGGCUCACCGACGGCGAGAUCGUCAGCCUCUGCUCCGAAUUCCUGAGCGCCGGGACAGACACCACGGCCACGGCGCUGCAGUGGAUACUCGCGAACCUGGUCAAGAACCCGGCCAUGCAGGACAGGCUAAGGGAGGAGGUCUCCGCCGCCGUCGACGGCGAGCUGCGGGAGGAGGACCUGCAGGGGAUGCCGUACCUCAAGGCCGUGGUGCUGGAGGGGCUGAGGCGGCACCCGCCGGGGCACUACGUGCUGCCGCACGCCGCGGCGGAGGAGACGACGCUGGACGGGUACCGCGUCCCGGCGGGCACGCCGGUAAACUUCGCGGUGGGCGACAUCGGGCUGGACGAGGAGAUCUGGACGGCGCCGUCGGAGUUCCGGCCGGAGCGGUUCCUGCCGGGCGGCGAGGGGGAGGACGUGGACCUCACCGGCAGCAAGGAGAUCAAGAUGAUGCCGUUCGGCGCCGGCAGGAGGGUCUGCCCCGCCAUGGCGCUGGCGCUGCUGCACCUCGAGUACUUCAUGGCCAACCUGGUCAGGGAGUUCGAGUGGCGCGAGGAGGCCGGCGAGGAGGUGGACCUCACCGAGAAGCUCGAGUUCACGGUUGUCAUGAGGCGGCCGCUCAAGGCGAGGGCUGUGCCGCUGAGGCAAGGAAGGCCCAUCGCCGCCACGUGCUCAGGUUGA